AGUUAGUUGGUGAGGUAACGGCUCACCAAGACGACGACGGGUAGCCGGCCUGAGAGGGUGACCGGCCACACUGGGACUGAGACACGGCCCAGACUCCUACGGGAGGCAGCAGUGGGGAAUAUUGCACAAUGGGCGCAAGCCUGAUGCAGCAACGCCGCGUGAGGGACGACGGCCUUCGGGUUGUAAACCUCUUUUAGCAGGGAAGAAGCGAAAGUGACGGUACCUGCAGAAAAAGCACCGGCUAACUACGUGCCAGCAGCCGCGGUAAUACGUAGGGUGCAAGCGUUGUCCGGAAUUAUUGGGCGUAAAGAGCUCGUAGGCGGUUUGUCACGUCUGCUGUGAAAACGCGAGGCUCAACCUCGCGCCUGCAGUGGGUACGGGCAAACUAGAGUGCGGUAGGGGAGAUUGGAAUUCCUGGUGUAGCGGUGGAAUGCGCAGAUAUCAGGAGGAACACCAAUGGCGAAGGCAGAUCUCUGGGCCGUAACUGACGCUGAGGAGCGAAAGCGUGGGGAGCGAACAGGAUUAGAUACCCUGGUAGUCCACGCCGUAAACGUUGGGAACUAGGUGUAGGGACCAUUCCACGGUUUCUGUGUCGCAGCUAACGCAUUAAGUCCCCCGCCUGGGGAGUACGGUCGCAAGACUAAAACUCAAAGGAACUGACGGGGGCCCGCACAAGCGGCGGAGCAUGCGGAUUAAUUCGAUGCAACGCGAAGAACCUUACCUGGGUUUGACAUGCACGGAUGCCGUCCUGGAAACAGGAGCCGGCUGCCUCCGGGUGAAACGUGUACAGGUGCUGCAUGGCUGUCGUCAGCUCGUGCUGUGAAGUGUCGGGUUAAGUCCCUUAACGAGCGAAACCCUUGUCGCUAGUUGCCAGCGGGUCAUGCCGGGAACUCUAGCGAGACUGCCGGCGUUAAGCCGGAGGAAGGUGGGGACGACGUCAAGUCAUCAUGGCCUUUAUGCCCAGGGCGUCACACGUGCUACAAUGGGGUGUACAGAGCGACGCAAAGCCGCAAGGUAGAGCAAAUCGCAGAAAACACUCCUCAGUUCGGAUUGAGGUCUGCAACCCGACCUCAUGAAGCUGGAAUCGCUAGUAAUCGCGCAUCAGCCAUGGCGCGGUGAAUGAGUUCCUGAGCCUUGUACACACCGCCCGUCAAGUCAUGGGAGCUGGGAGUUCCCGAAGUCGCAGCAAUUCGGCUGUGCCGACGGAAAGCCCGGUGACUGGGACUAAGUCGUAACAAGGUAGCCGUAGGGGAACCUGCGGCUG
This 1264-nucleotide ribosomal RNA is filed under the name metagenome. RNAcentral's name for it is "bacterial SSU rRNA". It matches the Rfam family "Bacterial small subunit ribosomal RNA", at positions 243 to 1520 of the family's 1533-position model. The record is from RNAcentral.